RNAcentral lists this ribosomal RNA (388 nucleotides) under uncultured bacterium. RNAcentral describes it as "partial 16S ribosomal RNA". It matches the Rfam family "Bacterial small subunit ribosomal RNA", at positions 523 to 918 of the family's 1533-position model. The record is from RNAcentral.
AUACAUAGGGGGCAAGCGUUAUCCGGAAUUAUUGGGCGUAAAGGGUGCGUAGGCGGUCUAUUAAGUCUGAGGUGUAAGUGCAGGGCUCAACCCUGUGUUGCUUUAGAAACUGGUAGACUUGAGUGAGAUAGAGGCAAGUGGAAUUCCAUGUGUAGCGGUAAAAUGCGUUAAUAUAUGGAGGCACACCAGUGGCGAAGGCGGCUUGCUGGGUGUAUACUGGCGCUGAGGCACGAAAGCGUGGGGAGCAAACAGGAUUAGAUCCCCUGGUAGUCCACGCCGUAAACGAUGAGUACUAAGUGUUGCGAGAACGCAGUGCUGAAGUUAACAUAUUAAGUACUCCGCCUGAGUAGUACGUACGCAAGUAUGAAACUCAAAUGAAUUGACGGGG